UACUCUUGACAUCCACGGAAUUCGGCAGAGAUGCGUUAGUGCCUUCGGGAACCGUGAGACAGGUGCUGCAUGGCUGUCGUCAGCUCGUGUUGUGAAAUGUUGGGUUAAGUCCCGCAACGAGCGCAACCCUUAUCCUUUGUUGCCAGCGAUUCGGUCGGGAACUCAAAGGAGACUGCCGGUGAUAAACCGGAGGAAGGUGGGGAUGACGUCAAGUCAUCAUGGCCCUUACGAGUAGGGCUACACACGUGCUACAAUGGCGCAUACAAAGAGAAGCGACCUCGCGAGAGCAAGCGGACCUCACAAAGUGCGUCGUAGUCCGGAUCGGAGUCUGCAACUCGACUCCGUGAAGUCGGAAUCGCUAGUAAUCGUGGAUCAGAAUGCCACGGUGAAUACGUUCCCGGGCCUUGUACACACCGCCCGUCACACCAUGGGAGUGGGUUGCAAAAGAAGUAGGUAG
Molecule: ribosomal RNA, 457 nt
Filed under: Pantoea agglomerans
Lineage: Bacteria; Pseudomonadati; Pseudomonadota; Gammaproteobacteria; Enterobacterales; Erwiniaceae
Description: bacterial SSU rRNA
Rfam family: Bacterial small subunit ribosomal RNA
Source: RNAcentral